This 449-nucleotide ribosomal RNA is filed under the name Indothais lacera. Its description in RNAcentral is "partial 16S ribosomal RNA". It matches the Rfam family "Bacterial large subunit ribosomal RNA", at positions 1933 to 2597 of the family's 2925-position model. The record is from RNAcentral. Lineage: Eukaryota; Metazoa; Mollusca; Gastropoda; Neogastropoda; Muricidae.
GCGGUACUCUGACCGUGCAAAGGUAGCAUAAUCAUUUGCCUUAUAAUUGAAGGCUAGUAUGAAUGGUUUGACGAGAAUUAAGCUGUCUCUUCUCAAUUAAAUAUAAUUUUAUUAACAGGUGAAGAAGCCUGUGUAUUAUUGAAAGACAAGAAGACCCUAUCGAGCUUUAAAGAAUUCAAUAGAUUUAUUAUAUAUUUAUAUAAAUAUAAAACUAUUGAAAACUUUGGUUGGGGCGACUGAGGAACAAAAAAAGCUUCCUUUAUAUCUUUAGAACCCACAAGUAUUGAUCCAAUAAAUUUGAUUAAAGGAAUUAGUUACCGUAGGGAUAACAGCAUAAUCUUCUUUGAGAGUUCUUAUCGAAAAGGAGGUUUGUGACCUCGAUGUUGGACCAGAAUACCCAGAAGAUGUAGCCGUCUUCAAUGGUUGGUCUGUUCGACCAUUAAAAUUCU